AGCCAGACUCCUACGGGAGGCAGCAGUGGGGAAUAUUGCACAAUGGGGGAAACCCUGAUGCAGCGACGCCGCGUGAGUGAAGAAGUAAUUCGUUAUGUAAAGCUCUCUCAGCAGGGAAGAAACAGACGGUACCUGAGUAAGAAGCCCCGGCUAACUACGUGCCAGCAGCCGCGGUAAUACGUAGGGGGCGAGCGUUAUCCGGAUUUACUGGGUGUAAAGGGAGCGUAGACGGCUGUGCAAGCCAGAUGUGAAAGCCCGGGGCUCAACCCCGGGACUGCAUUUGGAACUGUGUGGCUGGAGUGUCGGAGAGGCAGGCGGAAUUCCUAGUGUAGCGGUGAAAUGCGUAGAUAUUAGGAGGAACACCAGUGGCGAAGGCGGCCUGCUGGACGAUGACUGACGUUGAGGCUCGAAAGCGUGGGUAGCAAACAGGAUUAGAUACCCUCGUAG
This 447-nucleotide ribosomal RNA is filed under the name uncultured bacterium. Its description in RNAcentral is "bacterial SSU rRNA". It matches the Rfam family "Bacterial small subunit ribosomal RNA", at positions 329 to 793 of the family's 1533-position model. The record is from RNAcentral.